Molecule: ribosomal RNA, 123 nt
Filed under: uncultured bacterium
Lineage: Bacteria
Description: partial 16S ribosomal RNA
Rfam family: Bacterial small subunit ribosomal RNA
Source: RNAcentral
CUAUCGCAUUGGGAUGAGUUUGCGUACCAUUAGCUAGUUGGUGAGGUAACGGCCCACCAAGGCGACGAUGGUUAGCGGGUCUGAGAGGAUGAUCCGUCACACUGGCACUGGAACACGGGCCAG